Molecule: non-coding RNA, 249 nt
Organism: Pelobates cultripes (western spadefoot toad)
Lineage: Eukaryota; Metazoa; Chordata; Amphibia; Anura; Pelobatidae
Source: the annotation of a GenBank genome assembly
CAUAUAAAAAAGACAACUCUGUUCCACAGAGUUACUGUUGACAUUAUAGUUGCGCAGGCACUUUGUUGACUCUAGAGAACCUCGGGCCAAUCGCACACCUCCGUGGCGGUGACUUUGCAUGCGGAUGUCAUCCAUAUCAACUUUCAAAGCCAGUUUCUGCGCCUACUAUGGUGACCACGGGUAACGGGGAAUCAGGGUUCCAUUCCGUACAGGGACCCUGAGAAACGCUACCACAUGCAAGGAAGGCAG